RNAcentral lists this transfer RNA (72 nucleotides) under Cryptomonas curvata. Its description in RNAcentral is "tRNA-Gln". It matches the Rfam family "tRNA". Rfam says of the family: Transfer RNA (tRNA) molecules are approximately 80 nucleotides in length. Their secondary structure includes four short double-helical elements and three loops (D, anti-codon, and T loops). Further hydrogen bonds mediate the characteristic L-shaped molecular structure. tRNAs have two regions of fundamental functional importance: the anti-codon, which is responsible for specific mRNA codon recognition, and the 3' end, to which the tRNAs corresponding amino acid is attached (by aminoacyl-tRNA synthetases). tRNAs cope with the degeneracy of the genetic code in two manners: having more than one tRNA (with a specific anti-codon) for a particular amino acid; and 'wobble' base-pairing, i.e. permitting non-standard base-pairing at the 3rd anti-codon position. The record is from RNAcentral. Lineage: Eukaryota; Cryptophyceae; Cryptomonadales; Cryptomonadaceae.
UGGGAUAUAGCCAAAGGGUAAGGCAUUGGUUUUUGAUAUCAACAUUUAAAGGUUCAAAUCCUUUUAUCCCAG